ACGCUCGACACCUACGGGACAGCAGUGGGGAAUAUUGCACAAUGGGGGAAACCCUGAUGCAGCGACGCCGCGUGAGCGAAGAAGUAUUUCGGUAUGUAAAGCUCUAUCAGCAGGGAAGAAAAUGACGGUACCUGACUAAGAAGCCCCGGCUAACUACGUACCAGCAGCCGCGGUAAUCUGAGCGGGCGUGGCAAGGC
This 197-nucleotide ribosomal RNA is filed under the name uncultured bacterium. Its description in RNAcentral is "partial 16S ribosomal RNA". It matches the Rfam family "Bacterial small subunit ribosomal RNA", at positions 326 to 538 of the family's 1533-position model. The record is from RNAcentral.